GUCAGGAUGGUCAAGCGGUCUAAGGCAUUGUGUUCAGGCUGCAGUCUAACCUGGAGGAGUGGGUUUGAAUCCCAUUUCUGACA
RNAcentral lists this transfer RNA (83 nucleotides) under Cariama cristata (Red-legged seriema). It matches the Rfam family "tRNA". From Rfam's summary of the family: Transfer RNA (tRNA) molecules are approximately 80 nucleotides in length. Their secondary structure includes four short double-helical elements and three loops (D, anti-codon, and T loops). Lineage: Eukaryota; Metazoa; Chordata; Aves; Cariamiformes; Cariamidae. The record is from Rfam by way of RNAcentral.